Molecule: long non-coding RNA, 266 nt
Filed under: Elaeis guineensis (African oil palm)
Lineage: Eukaryota; Viridiplantae; Streptophyta; Magnoliopsida; Arecales; Arecaceae
Description: long non-coding RNA (EGUI_LNC057563)
Source: RNAcentral
ACCAUAUUUUACUUCUUUAGCCCUCUUCUUUGAUUGCGUAUUUCUCUACUCCCCCUCAACAUAGCAAACAUAAAGGAUAUAUCAAUUUGCUUAUCUAGAAGAUAUUGCAAUUCAUAGUAUUUCUCAGCAUUAAUAUGAGUUAUUUUUCAUAUCUCAUAAUUAAAAUAAUUUAAUUUGGUCACAUUCAUAGACAUUCAUUGAAAGUCAAAGCGCGUGCGUGCACACACACACACACACACACACACACACACACACACACACACACA